AGAGUUUGAUCAUGGCUCAGAAUCAACGCUGGCGGCGCGCCUAACACAUGCAAGUCGAGCGAGAAAGUGGAGCAAUCCAUGAGUACAGCGGCGUACGGGUGAGUAACACGUGGGUAAUCUACCUCUUAGUGGGGAAUAACCCUGGGAAACCGGGGCUAAUACCGCAUAAGCCUUAGCAGGGAAAGCAGCAAUGCGCUGAGAGAGGAGCCCGCGGCUGAUUAGCUAGUUGGUGAGGUAAAGGCCCACCAAGGCAUAGAUCGGUAGCCGGCCUGAGAGGGCACACGGCCACACUGGCACUGAAACACGGGCCAGACUCCUACGGGAGGCAGCAGUGGGGAAUCUUGCACAAUGGGGGAAACCCUGAUGCAGCGACGCCGCGUGAGCGAUGAAGCCCUUCGGGGUGUAAAGCUCUUUCGGCAGGGAAGAUGAUGACGGUACCUGCAGAAGCAGCUGCGGCUAACUACGUGCCAGCAGCCGCGGUAAUACGUAGGCAGCGAGCGUUGUUCGGAGUUACUGGGCGUAAAGGGUGUGUAGGCGGUUCUUUAAGUUUGGUGUGAAAUCUCCCGGCUCAACUGGGAGGGUGCGCCGAAUACUGAGGGACUAGAGUGCGGGAGAGGAAAGUGGAAUUCCUGGUGUAGCGGUGAAAUGCGUAGAUAUCAGGAGGAACACCGGUGGUGUAGACGGCUUUCUGGACCGUAACUGACGCUGAGACACGAAAGCGUGGGUAGCAAACAGGAUUAGAUACCCUAGUAGUCC
RNAcentral lists this ribosomal RNA (756 nucleotides) under uncultured bacterium. RNAcentral's name for it is "bacterial SSU rRNA". It matches the Rfam family "Bacterial small subunit ribosomal RNA", at positions 8 to 796 of the family's 1533-position model. The record is from RNAcentral.